This 253-nucleotide ribosomal RNA is filed under the name uncultured bacterium. RNAcentral's name for it is "partial 16S ribosomal RNA". It matches the Rfam family "Bacterial small subunit ribosomal RNA", at positions 15 to 248 of the family's 1533-position model. The record is from RNAcentral.
GAUCAUGGCUCAGGACGAACGCUGGCGGCGUACCUAACACAUGCAAGUCGAACGGAACUUUUUUAAAAGAUUUCUUCGGAAUGAUUUUGAUUAAGUUUAGUGGCGGACGGGUGAGUAACGCGUGAGUAACCUGCCUCUAAGAGGGGUAAUAACAUUCUGAAAAGAAUGCUAAUACCGCAUAACAUAUAUUUAUCGCAUGGUAGAUAUAUCAAAGAUUUAUCGCUUAGAGAUGGACUCGCGUCCGAUUAGUUAG